GACGAACGCUGGCGGCGUGCCUAAUACAUGCAAGUAGAACGCACAGUUUAUACUGUAGCUUGCUACACCAUAAACUGUGAGUUGCGAACGGGUGAGUAACGCGUAGGUAACCUGCCUGGUAGCGGGGGAUAACUAUUGGAAACGAUAGCUAAUACCGCAUAAUAUUGAUUAUUGCAUGAUAAUUGAUUGAAAGAUGCUAUUGCAUCACUACCAGAUGGACCUGCGUUGUAUUAGCUAGUAGGUGAGGUAACGGCUCACCUAGGCGACGAUACAUAGCCGACCUGAGAGGGUGAUCGGCCACACUGGGACUGAGACACGGCCCAGACUCCUACGGGAGGCAGCAGUAGGGAAUCUUCGGCAAUGGACGAAAGUCUGACCGAGCAACGCCGCGUGAGUGAAGAAGGGUUUCGGAUCGUAAAGCUCUGUUGUAAGAGAAGAACGGGUGUGAGAGUGGAAAGUUCACACUGUGACGGUAGCUUACCAGAAAGGGACGGCUAACUACGUG
This 505-nucleotide ribosomal RNA is filed under the name uncultured bacterium. RNAcentral describes it as "partial 16S ribosomal RNA". It matches the Rfam family "Bacterial small subunit ribosomal RNA", at positions 28 to 507 of the family's 1533-position model. The record is from RNAcentral.